AGAGUUUGAUCAUGGCUCAGAUUGAACGCUGGCGGCAUGCCUUACACAUGCAAGUCGAACGGCAGCACGGGGGCAACCCUGGUGGCGAGUGGCGAACGGGUGAGUAAUACAUCGGAACGUGUCCUGUAGUGGGGGGAUAGCCCGGCGAAAGCCGGAUUAAUACCGCAUACGACCUAAGGGAGAAAGCGGGGGAUCUUCGGACCUCGCGCUAUAGGGGCGGCCGAUGGCAGAUUAGCUAGUUGGUGGGGUAAAGGCCUACCAAGGCGACGAUCUGUAGCUGGUCUGAGAGGACGACCAGCCACACUGGGACUGAGACACGGCCCAGACUCCUACGGGAGGCAGCAGUGGGGAAUUUUGGACAAUGGGGGAAACCCUGAUCCAGCAAUGCCGCGUGUGUGAAGAAGGCCUUCGGGUUGUAAAGCACUUUUGUCCGGAAAGAAAACCUCUUGGCUAAUACCUGAGGGGGAUGACGGUACCGGAAGAAUAAGCACCGGCUAACUACGUGCCAGCAGCCGCGGUAAUACGUAGGGUGCGAGCGUUAAUCGGAAUUACUGGGCGUAAAGCGUGCGCAGGCGGUUUGUUAAGACAGAUGUGAAAUCCCCGGGCUUAACCUGGGAACUGCAUUUUGUGACUGGCAAGCUAGAGUAUGGCAGAGGGGGGUAGAAUUCCCGUGUAGCAGUGAAAUGCGUAGAGAUGUGGAGGAAUACCGAUGGCGAAGGCAGCCCCCUGGGCCAAUACUGACGCUCAUGCACGAAAGCGUGGGGAGCAAACAGGAUUAGAUACCCUAGUAGUCC
RNAcentral lists this ribosomal RNA (794 nucleotides) under uncultured bacterium. RNAcentral's name for it is "bacterial SSU rRNA". It matches the Rfam family "Bacterial small subunit ribosomal RNA", at positions 8 to 796 of the family's 1533-position model. The record is from RNAcentral.